This 253-nucleotide ribosomal RNA is filed under the name uncultured bacterium. RNAcentral describes it as "partial 16S ribosomal RNA". It matches the Rfam family "Bacterial small subunit ribosomal RNA", at positions 524 to 776 of the family's 1533-position model. The record is from RNAcentral.
UACAGAGGUGGCAAGCGUUGUUCGGAAUUACUGGGCGUAAAGGGCGCGUAGGCGGCCUUCUAAGUCAGACGUGAAAUCCCCCGGCUUAACCUGGGAACUGCGUCUGAUACUGGGAGGCUUGAGUGCGGGAGAGGGAUGCGGAAUUCCAGGUGUAGCGGUGAAAUGCGUAGAUAUCGGGAGGAACACCAGUGGCGAAGGCGACUACCUGGCCUGUUCUUGACGCUGAGGCGCGAAAGCUAGGGGAGCAAACGGG